RNAcentral lists this ribosomal RNA (492 nucleotides) under uncultured bacterium. RNAcentral describes it as "bacterial SSU rRNA". It matches the Rfam family "Bacterial small subunit ribosomal RNA", at positions 15 to 518 of the family's 1533-position model. The record is from RNAcentral.
GAUCAUGGCUCAGGAUGAACGCUGGCGGCGCGCUUAACACAUGCAAGUCGAACGGUUAAAGCACCUCCGGGUAUGCAUAAAGUGGCGAACGGCUGAGUAACACGUGGGCAACCUGCCCCCCGCACCGGGAUAGCCUCGGGAAACCGUGGGUAAUACCGGAUACUCCGCCACCCCCGCAUGGGGGAGGCGGGAAAGCGUACACGGCGGGGGAUGGGCCCGCGGCCUGUUAGCUCGUUGGCGGGGUAACGGCCCACCAAGGCGAUUAUGGGUAGCCGGGUUGAGAGACCGACCGGCCAGAUUGGGACUGAGACACGGCCCAGACUCCUACGGGAGGCAGCAGUGGGGAAUCUUGCACAAUGGGCGAAAGCCUGAUGCAAGCGACGCCGCGUGCGGGACGAAGGCCCUCGGGUUGUAAACCGCUUUCAGCAGGGACGAGGCGCAAGUGACGGUACCUGCAGAAGAAGCCCCGGCUAACUACGUGCCAGCCGCUGC